This is a long non-coding RNA of Cavia porcellus (domestic guinea pig), 1708 nucleotides long. RefSeq lists it as uncharacterized. The record is from RefSeq and is a predicted model, not a curated record. The transcript is spliced from 2 exons. Lineage: Eukaryota; Metazoa; Chordata; Mammalia; Rodentia; Caviidae.
GGAGGAGGGUUCGGGGCGCCAUCACUGUCAUCUCGGGGCGGAGGACUGAGCUCCUGGCCCUCUGUGAGGACUUUAUAACCGGAUUCGCGGCGACGCUGAUUGGCUGCGUUAGGAGCCGCCAACCAAUGCGGGCUGUGACCUGACGACCUGAGUGAUUAUAAUUUGUCCAGGACUAUCGGGGAUCGGAAGUUUAGUAACCGGGUAGACAUGAGGAAACCCUCUCCGCACUCCCGCCCAUCUGGCUUCUUUCAGCAUCAGUUGCAAGGGAGACAGAGAAAACCGCUCUGCUCCCUAGAGCCGAAAGUUUCAACCCGUGAUGCAGCAAAAUUUCUCUGAGCUGAGAAGGUGGAGAUGGCUGAUUGUGGCUCAGUUAAGGUUACUGAGCUGGCUGUCAUUCCGCCAUCUUUUUCCUGCUUGGGACUUGAUUUUAAAAUAGUGCCUGGGGACCUACUCUUUUAAAGAGUUUUUGUGUGUCAAAACAAAUCAACAACAAAUGAAAUGAAAUGAAAACCCACAGAAUGGGAAAGACAGCCAGCAACCCCUGGCUAUAAGUGCUUUAGUCAAAGCACUUAUAUCCGGAACAUACAAAGUAUUCAAAAUCAUCAAGCCCCCAAAUUCAAAGACCCUCUCCAAAAAUGGGCAUCUGAGAUGAACACACAGUUCUCAGAGGACGAUAUACAAAUGGCAAAUAAAUACAUGAAGAAAUGUUCACCAUUACUGGUCAUUCAAGAAAUGCAAUUUAAAACAGCACUGAGAUUUCAUCUCAUUCCAGAAAGAAUACCUGCCAUCAAGAAAUCAACUAAUAGUGGCUGGGGAUUUAGCUCAGUGGCAUAAGCGCCUGCCUUGCAAGUGUGUGGUCAAGAGUUUGAUCCCUGGUACUGAUUUUAAAAAAAAGACAAAAUCAAAGCAAAACAAGAAAGAAAUCAACUGAUAACAAAUGUUGGCAAGACUGCGGAAAAACGGAACACUGCUCCACUAUUGGCGGGAGUGCAGACCAGUGCAGCUACGAUGGAAAUCAGUAUGGAGAUUCCUCAACAAGCUAGGAUUACAAGUUCCAUUGAAUCCAUCUAUUCCUCUCCUGCCUAUUUUCCAAGAAAAACUGAAAAGGUCAUGCCUCAGUGCACCCAGGUUUAUAAAGCAGCACAAUUUGUACUAGCUAAAUCUUGGAAACAACCAAAAUGCCCAUCAACCACAGAAUGGAGGAAAAAGGUGUGGCAUUUUUUCACAAUGGAAUAUUACUCAGCUAUGAAAAAGGAUGUUCUUGAGGCUUUUAUAGGUAAAUGGAGGCAACUUGAGUCUGUCCGCAUAAGUGAAAUAAAUCACACUCACAUGUGUAAAUAUAGUAUUGUCUCUCUAGUAUAAAAAUAAUAACAAAAAACUGAAAAAGUAAUAAGAUCCAAAAAGUAUACCAGAUAUUGUGAUAUGACAGGGAAAGAAAGUGCUGUAAAGGAUAUCAUUCCAUGUAUAAGUGUGUAAGACAGAUAACCGUACUACUAAGUUUUUGUUAGUUCAUCAGAUUUGUUUACACUGUCAUUCUUUGAUUGUCCAAUUUUUAUGCUUUGAUUUUUGUGACUUGAGCAACUAUUUCCAAGAGAACAGUAUGUAAUUUAUUAACUAGUGAUUUCUUACUGCUUUUUAAAAUUCUGUAUUAUUUCUACCCUUUUUUGUUUUUUUUCUCUAAAUAAAAUAAAAUAGUUCCUGAAACCAA